CCUACGGGUGACUGCAGUGGGGAAUAUUGCACAAUGGGGGAAACACUGAUGCAGCGACGCCGCGUGAGUGAAGAAGUAAUUCGGUAUGUAAAGCUCUAUCAGUAGGGAAGAAAAUGACGGUACCUGAGUAAGAAGCCCCGGCUAACGACGUGCCAGCUGCGGCGGUAAUACGUAGGGGGCAAGGGUUAUCCGGAUUUUCUGGGUGUAAAGGGGGCGUAGACGGCAGUGCAAGUCUGGAGUGAAAGGGGGGGGCUCAACCCCCGGUCUGCUCUUGAAACUGUACGGCUGGAGUGCAGGAGAGGUAAGUGGAAUUCCUAGUGUAGCGGUGAAAUGCGUAGAUAUUAGGAGGAACACCAGUGGCGAAGGCGGCUUACUGGACUGUAACUGACGUUGAGGCUCGAAAGCGUGGGGAGCAAACAGGAUUAGAUACCCCAGUAGUC
This 440-nucleotide ribosomal RNA is filed under the name uncultured bacterium. Its description in RNAcentral is "partial 16S ribosomal RNA". It matches the Rfam family "Bacterial small subunit ribosomal RNA", at positions 338 to 795 of the family's 1533-position model. The record is from RNAcentral.